RNAcentral lists this transfer RNA (75 nucleotides) under Candidatus Dojkabacteria bacterium. Its description in RNAcentral is "tRNA-His". It matches the Rfam family "tRNA". Rfam says of the family: Transfer RNA (tRNA) molecules are approximately 80 nucleotides in length. Their secondary structure includes four short double-helical elements and three loops (D, anti-codon, and T loops). The record is from RNAcentral.
GUGAUCAUAGCUCAGUUGGUAGAGCGCCAGUUUGUGGCACUGGAUGUCGUGGGUUCGACCCCCACUGAUCACCCA